This 30-nucleotide transfer RNA is filed under the name Macaca fascicularis (crab-eating macaque). RNAcentral's name for it is "partial tRNA-Gly". The record is from RNAcentral. Lineage: Eukaryota; Metazoa; Chordata; Mammalia; Primates; Cercopithecidae.
UCAGUUUUGACAACAUUCAAAAAAGAGUAA